This 421-nucleotide long non-coding RNA is filed under the name Penaeus japonicus. RNAcentral describes it as "uncharacterized LOC122255166". Lineage: Eukaryota; Metazoa; Arthropoda; Malacostraca; Decapoda; Penaeidae. The record is from RNAcentral.
CAUCCUUGAAUCUGCUUAAGUCUACCCUCCUGUCAGACCCAGGAGAUGGAGGGAAUGCCGUACGACUUCACGUGGGGCGUGGAGGACGGUGAGAGCGGCAACGCCUUCAGCCACGUCGAGAACAGCGACGGCCAGACGACCCAGGGCGAGUACCGCGUCCUCCUCCCCGACGGAAGAACUCAGGUGGUAAAAUUCUUCGACAAUGGCGAGGGUUUCAACGCUGACGUCACUUACGAAAAGUAAACACCACUAAGGGAUGUGAACCAGCGUCUGUCAUGAAACUUGCUCGUUCACAUCGUCGUUCUCAUAUUCACCUGAAAAUAUAUAUUUCUAAUGCUCUUACACAUCCUCUUUCAUCCGUAUGUGUAUGAUUAUUUAUGUGAUGAUUGAAAUUGAAUAAUAAAAAAAACAUUUAUGAUAA